Molecule: ribosomal RNA, 500 nt
Filed under: Podarcis vaucheri
Lineage: Eukaryota; Metazoa; Chordata; Lepidosauria; Squamata; Lacertidae
Description: partial 16S ribosomal RNA
Rfam family: Bacterial large subunit ribosomal RNA
Source: RNAcentral
UCCCGCCUGCCCAGUGACUCUUUAAACGGCCGCGGUAUCCUAACCGUGCAAAGGUAGCAUAAUCACUUGUCCCCUAAAUAGGGACUAGAAUGAACGGCUAAAUGAGGACAAAACUGUCUCUUACGGAUCAACCAAUGAAAUUGAUCUUCCAGUACAAAAGCUGGAAUAAACCCAUAAGACGAGAAGACCCUGUGGAGCUUUAAAACCAAAACCACCAAACAUGUUUCUUGGUUUUUUAGUUGGGGCGACUUUGGAGAAAAAAUAAUCCUCCAAACUAUAAACCCAUUUAUUAAGAAUAACACAUCAAAAAUAAUUAAAUAGACCCAGCAACAUUAUGUUGUCUGACCAAUGAACCAAGUUACCCCAGGGAUAACAGCGCCAUCCUCUUCUAGAGUCCCUAUCGACAAGGGGGUUUACGACCUCGAUGUUGGAUCAGGACACCCCUAUAGUGCAGCCGCUUUAAAAGGUUCGUUUGUUCAACGAUUAAAGUCCUACGUGAU